GAUGAACGCUGGCGGCGUGCUUAACACAUGCAAGUCGAACGAUGAAGCCCAGCUUGCUGGGUGGAUUAGUGGCGAACGGGUGAGUAACACGUGAGUAACCUGCCCUUAACUCUGGGAUAAGCCUGGGAAACUGGGUCUAAUACCGGAUAGGAGCGUCCACCGCAUGGUGGGUGUUGGAAAGAUUUAUCGGUUUUGGAUGGACUCGCGGCCUAUCAGCUUGUUGGUGAGGUAAUGGCUCACCAAGGCGACGACGGGUAGCCGGCCUGAGAGGGUGACCGGCCACACUGGGACUGAGACACGGCCCAGACUCCUACGGGAGGCAGCAGUGGGGAAUAUUGCACAAUGGGCGCAAGUCUGAUGCAGCGACGCCGCGUGAGGGAUGACGGCCUUCGGGUUGUAAACCUCUUUCAGUAGGGAAGAAGCGAAAGUGACGGUACCUGCAGAAGAAGCACCGGCUAACUACGUG
This 466-nucleotide ribosomal RNA is filed under the name uncultured bacterium. RNAcentral's name for it is "partial 16S ribosomal RNA". It matches the Rfam family "Bacterial small subunit ribosomal RNA", at positions 28 to 507 of the family's 1533-position model. The record is from RNAcentral.